Lates calcarifer (barramundi perch) is the source of this 452-nucleotide long non-coding RNA. RefSeq lists it as uncharacterized. The transcript is spliced from 3 exons. NCBI's taxonomy places the organism in Eukaryota, Metazoa, Chordata, Actinopteri, Centropomidae. The record is from RefSeq and is a predicted model, not a curated record.
GUUUGCGUUGUUUCCAGUUAUUCAAAUCGAUCAAGCGGAGAAUUCAUGGGAAACUUUUAUCGAGUUCACAGUGAAUGGCUUAUAUUUUUAUAUAUAUAUUUUUUUUUCAUUUUUUCCGUAGCUGGGAGGAACGGAGUCGGAUAGGCCUGAUGCUGCGUUUGUGUAGUGACCGACUUCCAUAAAGAGGAAACUGAGAAGAGUGAUGCAGCAGUUAAAGAAACACGUCUACGAGACUCCAGUCCAGUCCAGAGACGAUCAACAAAGACUCACAGACACUCCAGCCAGAGAUGUACACACUCAACAAGGUCGCUACGAUGCAACACCGGUCUGAGGGCUCUCGAAUCAACCCCUCCUCCCUUCCCCUUUUCACAUUACAAAUAUUUGUACCUUCAGUGACAGUUUUCCUUUGCCAUCCUGUGCAUUGUCAUUGCCUUAUAUGUCCUAGUAUUUAC